Molecule: long non-coding RNA, 4323 nt
Organism: Nematostella vectensis (starlet sea anemone)
Lineage: Eukaryota; Metazoa; Cnidaria; Anthozoa; Actiniaria; Edwardsiidae
Exons: 3
Source: RefSeq, a predicted model, not a curated record
CCUCGUCAUAAGAUAUUUCUGACAGUCUUCUAUUUAUUGAAUCUGGUGCUUGCGACAUAAUUGCCAGCCCGUCAUCUCUAUAAAGACCAAUGUUGAUUUCUGAAAUCUGCUUUAGCUGGUGUAGUAAGAAGCAUCCGACCAAUUCGCAUGUCUCCGCUCCAUCGAAGCUCCCCAUUGUCACAUCGAAUAAUGUGGAAGAUGAUUUCUUCUCCCAUGGUACGCCGUUGCUAAAUAGGAGCGAGUGCUUGUCUUUUGUAAUGAAAUCGCCCUCGUCGGUCGUGAUGUCACAUGCUCUGAUGCAAAUUCCAGUGCUCGUUCUAGUAGGGUCUGGGUGAUAGAUGGAUAAACUCCACUACAUCGAAGCAUAUAAAGGCUGAAUUCUCCUUACUUGGUAGCUGUCUGUACCAUUCUAGAACAGAUGACGUGUUUUUCCAUUGGUUCACCUCGGUUUUCGUUACUAGCCUCUUGUUGAUAUUCUCGAGUAUUUGUUUACUAAUUUUUCCAAUCUCUGAUUUUGAAGGGUUAAUUAGCCGGCAUGUUGAUCUUUUUUCGAAAUUCUGUUUAUGGUCUUUCAAGGUGAUGAAUGCUUCUUUUGUGGCUUGUGCUUCUACUCUAUCUUGUAUGUCUAGUUUAGUGGUUAUCCUCUUCGUAACUGCGUCGAUCUUUUUGAGUUUAUUCUCGCUUGCGAUCUUAUACGUUUUGGCAGAUAAGUCAGCAAAUUUCUACAAAUUGGAAACAGAGAGUUACAAACAGCUUCUUAAUAGCAACGUUACCAAAACAAUUUCUUCAACCUGAGUUAAUCCUUGUAACUCUUUUGGGACUUGCCCAGGUAUCACAGAAUUUUCUUUAGAAAAUGAUUUGGGAGUUUCCGUAUCCCUCUUACAGCGUGUGCAAGUACAAUCCUCUGAUUGCUUUUUUAUGUUCAAAGGACAAGCAUCUUUACAAAUAGAACAUUGGUAAAUGGAAUAUUGCAUCGACUGAUAAUUUUUGCAUAUUUAAUUUUGCCCAAGUUUGAUCAUGUUAGGGCCAUUCUGGAUUGAGUUGAAUUCCUUCAAAUAAUUUGGUUGCAGUGAAUAUUAUGUACCGCCAAGUUCACUCCGGUAUCAAGAGCCUUUCUUAUUCAUUCUUUCCCAGAGCAGCCUUCAAGGCAGCAGCUACAGAAGCUUUACCCUCUAUAAGGAUACUACCACACCUUAAGCGGCUUUAAUUUGAUUUUUCUCUAAAAAUUCAUUUGUUUGACUAUUCAUUAUUAUUUAUUUAAUUAUUUAUGUCUAUUUUUAAUCUAUAAGGACCUUCCAGGUUGGGUCAGUACGCAGCUCUUACAAGCUGCAAUUUAAAUGGGCAAAUGAACAAUAUCCGAACCUUGACAUAAAGAACGAGAAGAAUAGAGACAAAAGAACUCCUUUGUAGAAUAAAGAUAAUAGGAGACAAAGCAGCUGCGUACUUACUCUCCAGGUUUAGUGCAAACUAGUUGUUGAGGUGGAGAAAACUAAUAACGCCGAACUAAUAAACAUAUUUUCCCCUCAGAAAGAAAUAAUUUACAAAACUAACCUAAAUUGUUCUUACCAAAUAAAAAUCAAAGCUGAGAAAAUAUGAGAUAACAUACAUUCGUUUACUCUUGCAUUUUAGUCUGGCUUAGAUUCUAUAGUAAGUUAUAGAAUAAGAUUGACACGUGAAAUUGUCAUUUGGACAGAAAUAACAGAAGCGGUUUUGCUCGAACAAUUCGCAUUUUAUAAGAGAUUUAUUUUUUAGUACACCAUUAUACAAGAUAUAUAGUUACCGCAGGGGCUCAUAAGUAGGGGCAAUCAACUUCCCCACAUUCUGGUACUAUAUAAGUGUCAAGGCGUUUCCUAGGAUCAGGCUAUUUUUAGACGCACGGAUUAGCCAAUCAGAUGACAGGGCGGAAAAAUUGACUUUGUCUCAAGGGAUCCAUAAUGGCGGCCGAGAAGGGGGAAAACGACGCUUGCUUUUCAAAGUCUUCCUACGUCGUCAUAUGCCUUCUUAUUUAUGAAUCCUUUUUGUCGCGGAGUGAUUAUUUGUAUCGAUCUCGAAAUUCUGUCGCUGAGAGGCGAUAUUAUCAUCCAUAAGGUUUUUGAUACUGCUAGUUAACUAACAAUAGUGUAAGAAGUAACAUACGAAAGUUUAUGUCUUUUUUUUGUUAAAUAUUUUUAUCAAAAGAGCUCUUCAAAGCUGGAUCUGUGUUUGUAUCAACACCCUUGACCUGUCCUGGACUCACUGUACUGGGGCCGGUCCCUGAAAGGCCGAUUAACUUAACCCUCGACAGGGGCGUACGCAGGAUUUUAACAAGUUGCAGUCAAAGCAUUCAGAAGCUGAAUGAGGGCUCCUCACCAACACUCUAUCCUCUCAGCGUAUGCCACCCCGUCAUCCUAUCUAGCCUAGAACACUUCAAAAAUAUUCCCGUACAAUAAUAUAGCCAUUCAUUGUAUUCAUCCGCCAUAUUUUGCCAAUUUUGUAAACCAAACCGCAACCUAGUUAAUAAAUACCCGGAUGUACAAUAACCGGAACCGGAAACAGCGAUAUCUAUUUUCAUCUAAUACUCGUAUAACCACGAGCGCAAUCCCCUCAUAACCCCCCACUUCGCUGCAUACGGAAUACCUCCAAGACACGCAAUCUAAGCUCCGCCAAUACACAUCUCGGGUAUGUACACCCUCCUUUCCACACAUCCUAUAUACUACCCACCACAUCACGACAUCCGUAUUCUCUCCCCUUCCAGCUACAUGCAUAAGUUCCCACACUUAUUUAUCAUUUAGUCCACCACAUACAACCGCUAGCCAGGACCAUCACAUGCACCAUUUUGUCCACUACACACUUCCCCCUCCUAUCUUAGCCUCUAUCCACUUUUUUCUCUUUACCUCAUUCCCCGGCGCGCUACCUUUUACUUUUCAGACCAAGCCAUGCACUCAGCCGGAGCCAGGCGCUACACAGGUUUGGCCAUUGCAUGCACCACGCUUCACUAGAGGCAUUACUAACGAGCGUGUAGGGGCGGGUGAUGAGGGCCUUAUCAUUCGAAACACGCUUCAUAUACGAAUCAUCUCCAUAGUUUUUUCCCCUUUUUACUCCCACCAUCAUCGCCGCUUUUCCCCUAGCUUUCCCCUAAGUCUCCCCGCUUUAAUCUCCAGGUUCGUAUAUGACCAACCAAUAGACCUCGCCCCCUGAUGAGAAGUCUUGGUUGGCGUUAUAUGCCUUUAGUUCUACAUUUCGCAGAGCUCUUUGAAAUGACCUACACACUUUUGUCUUAUUGGUUUAUUUUGUUAUGUCCAUUUUGCAUAUACAUGCCGGUUGUUUUCUUCGUGCCUUUGCCUUUUCCCCUUAUCUCUUACCACCGAUUAUCGUUUCAUCUGGGGAAAACUAUCCUUCCUGUCUUGUUAACGUUUCAGCGUCAUCUCCACUCUCACCGCGCUCCCUUUGUCGCCUCCCGCGCCCCUACUUCAUCUUCUUCUCGCCGUUUUACUAGCAUCAUUUUCCAUUGUCCGUAAUACUUCCUUUCACCGCUACAGUAUUUUAUAUUUUUUCUCGGCGUUUUCGCAACACUCAUUCAAUCUCUAUUAUUAUUUAAUUUCGCCUGUCAAUCAUAUCACUUACACACUUCAUUAGAUACAUACCUCCACACAUACCUCACCCUCUCCAUUACCGCUCACCAUUUCCUCUCUACAAUCUAAACACUUUUCUUUCUCUUACCUUACAUAUUACUUUCCUACCCUACACACAACACACUUUCUCAAAAACACUACACAGUCUCGUCACAAUAUCCCUGCUCAUCAUUCUGCUCACACUCGCAUUAUCCCCCUUCAUCAGAUUUCACUAAUGCCGCCAUCACCUCUUCACAUCCGCUACACAACACUCGCCACAAGUUACCGAUUUUAACUGUUUCAAUCUCCACAUAAUACCAUAUUUACUAACUACUUUCUCCACUCAACCAAAAAAAAACCUUUAUUCAUAACUCUGAUGUCGUUUUAUUAUCAAUCCCAUCUCUUAUAACAACUUUAACUCGUCGUCUCAUAAUCCAUAAUCUUAACCACCCGAACAUAACUUGAUAACCCUAUCACCCCUUCCCCUUCCUUCACACUGCAACUUCACAAACAUAAACUAAGUUUCACCAUUCGCUACACAACCACCUCUCCACCUACUUAUCUCAACCUAUCACCAUCUUCAUCUUCUAUCACCGCCUUCCUAUAUACUACAAUACCACACUCACUCACUCUCUCAUAACGAUAUAUUAUCACCCACAUUUACACCAUAACCUCACAAAUUUUAAAUCGACCUCCGCACCACUACCAUUUUAACACACACAGACCCAUCACG